CCUACGGGAUGCAGCAGUGGGGAAUAUUGCGCAAUGGGGGAAACCCUGACGCAGCAACGCCGCGUGAAGGAUGAAGGCCUUCGGGUUGUAAACUUCUUUGAUGAGGGAAGAAUAAUGACGGUACCUCAAAAACAAGCCACGGCUAACUACGUGCCAGCAGCCGCGGUAAUACGUAGGUGGCAAGCGUUGUCCGGAAUUACUGGGUGUAAAGGGCGUGUAGGCGGGAAUGUAAGUCAGAUGUGAAAUUCCGGGGCUCAACCCCGGCGCUGCAUCUGAAACUAUGUUUCUUGAGUGCUGGAGAGGAAAGCGGAAUUCCUAGUGUAGCGGUGAAAUGCGUAGAUAUUAGGAGGAACACCAGUGGCGAAGGCGGCUUUCUGGACAGUAACUGACGCUGAGGCGCGAAAGCGUGGGGAGCAAACAGGAUUAGAUACCCGGGUAGUCC
Molecule: ribosomal RNA, 442 nt
Filed under: uncultured Bacillota bacterium
Lineage: Bacteria; Bacillati; Bacillota
Description: bacterial SSU rRNA
Rfam family: Bacterial small subunit ribosomal RNA
Source: RNAcentral